This 1264-nucleotide long non-coding RNA is filed under the name Felis catus (domestic cat). RNAcentral describes it as "lncRNA (ENSFCAG00000049499.1)". The record is from RNAcentral. Lineage: Eukaryota; Metazoa; Chordata; Mammalia; Carnivora; Felidae.
CGGCCGGCCGGGCCCCUCGGGGCCGGGGAACGGCGGGCGGCCCGGGCGACGACCCAAGGGGACGGCUCCCGGCGGCUAAGAGGCUCCAGGGUCAGAGGUCUGCACGCCCGUCCCGAGGAGGGGGCCGCUCUCCCCCAGCUCCCGGCAGCUGCGAGUGAGGCUGAACAGCCGAGCGCCCCCACUUCAUCCCCUAGGCGGCCCCGCCCCCGGCUUCCCCUUCGCCCCGGCCACGCCCCCUCCGAGCGCGGGGCCUUGUGGGAGUUGUGGUCUCGCGCGGCCGCGAGGGGGCCUCCUGCCGGAAGGCGGGGCAGGGGGCCGCGAGAACCCGGGAACUACAACUGCGGAGGCCGCUCCGCCUCCCCGGGGCCUUGGGCUCCACGGCGGCCAAUGAGGCAGGACCACGAGGGCCUCCAAAACAAGAGGAGGUGGCGCGGGGAGCGCUCCUCCCGGCCCGCCGCCGUCUCCGCUCCCCCUUCCCCGGGCGGUUGCUCCUGGAAACCGGGGAGAGAGGGGGCCGCCCCGCCCCGCCCGCCCCGCCCCGCCCUGUACGGUUGCUCCCUAACAUCGCACAGCCGCCAGGCUUCGGGAUCCGCCAGCUACCUACGCAAAUGAGGAACCAGUGGUGCAGGAUCUUCGACUUUCGAGCCGAAGCGUUUUCUUGGUUCGUUCAGUGUUCUGUGGCUUCACAUCUACUGCAAGUGCCUUAUAAGAAUCAGCCACCUCCACCUGCUACUUGGAGAGACAUCUGUCUCAGAACCAAUCCUGGAUGGGUGCCCCUAAACGUUUCCUGUGGACAGCUGGGAAGUAGCUUCAUUGGACAGGAAUAUUCCUGGAGAAGCCAGGAAGAUGAAACGGGCAGCCUUUCAUCAAGGCAAGGGAUUACAUGUGCUCAAACAGAGGUGUAUUUGGGCACUAUCGAAAAGACUGAGGAAAGUAAUGGACUUGUCAGAGGAUUGGUUGAGACCAAUUACUGGAAAUCCGUUACUUCAAGCAUUUUGGUUUUUCCUCAAACACUAUUUGAAAUGUCUUUACUCGUGGUGGUUGAAGCAAUGGCUUGAGACUGGUCUUGAACAGAUUACUGUAACACUUAAGAGACUUUGUGAGUUAGCAACGCUGCACUGUCUUCAGGCUUCCAAGAUACCAUCAAAUGUAUUGUGUUUCUUUGAUGAUUUUUUGGCUGGGUUAACUUGUGACUUCUAAUGAAGGAAAUCGUUGAUGAAUGGUUCUAAAUAAAAGCCAAGGUAAUGGGGUGGAAAUUUAAUAA